ACGCUGGCGGCAGGCCUAACACAUGCAAGUCGAGCGGUAGAGAGAAGCUUGCUUCUCUUGAGAGCGGCGGACGGGUGAGUAAUGCCUAGGAAUCUGCCUGGUAGUGGGGGAUAACGUCCGGAAACGGACGCUAAUACCGCAUACGUCCUACGGGAGAAAGCAGGGGACCUUCGGGCCUUGCGCUAUCAGAUGAGCCUAGGUCGGAUUAGCUAGUUGGUGGGGUAAUGGCUCACCAAGGCGACGAUCCGUAACUGGUCUGAGAGGAUGAUCAGUCACACUGGAACUGAGACACGGUCCAGACUCCUACGGGAGGCAGCAGUGGGGAAUAUUGGACAAUGGGCGAAAGCCUGAUCCAGCCAUGCCGCGUGUGUGAAGAAGGUCUUCGGAUUGUAAAGCACUUUAAGUUGGGAGGAAGGGCAGUUACCUAAUACGUGAUUGUUUUGACGUUACCGACAGAAUAAGCACCGGCUAACUCUGUGCCAGCAGCCGCGGUAAUACAGAGGGUGCAAGCGUUAAUCGGAAUUACUGGGCGUAAAGCGCGCGUAGGUGGUUCGUUAAGUUGGAUGUGAAAUCCCCGGGCUCAACCUGGGAACUGCAUUCAAAACUGACGAGCUAGAGUAUGGUAGAGGGUGGUGGAAUUUCCUGUGUAGCGGUGAAAUGCGUAGAUAUAGGAAGGAACACCAGUGGCGAAGGCGACCACCUGGACUGAUACUGACACUGAGGUGCGAAAGCGUGGGGAGCAAACAGGAUUA
Molecule: ribosomal RNA, 752 nt
Filed under: uncultured bacterium
Lineage: Bacteria
Description: bacterial SSU rRNA
Rfam family: Bacterial small subunit ribosomal RNA
Source: RNAcentral